This is a long non-coding RNA of Leopardus geoffroyi (Geoffroy's cat), 2548 nucleotides long. RefSeq lists it as uncharacterized. The record is from RefSeq and is a predicted model, not a curated record. Lineage: Eukaryota; Metazoa; Chordata; Mammalia; Carnivora; Felidae. The transcript has 3 exons.
GUUACACACGGAAUGCAAAAAUAAAAGGUCCAAGUCCAAGAGCGUUGGCUCACUGCAUGCCUUGGCUGCUUUAGCCAUGCUGGAUGCUAUGAGGUGAACAAGUGUAGCCAACUUAUGACUUGGGUCUUUAUUCUCUGGAGGCCAGGGAAAAGGAUCCAGACCUUCCCAAAGGUGAACAAAAAUGUUGAAAGUUUAACUUGCUGUCUCCUGCACGUGGGAGAAGACAAAUUUAAUUGGUUGCCUGGGUUAGAAAAAGCUUUACGUAAACUAGAGGCAAAGACGGAGGGGAAGGCAUUCCAGCCUUUUCUUCAGCUGGCUUACUGCUGCUGUGGCUGCGCCUCCCAGCAUUCCAACCAGGAUGUCCCCUGUAUGGUCACCCGGAGAACCACGUGUGCCCGCUAGGAUUACCCUUCCUGUGUGUGUGCCCUGACCAGCCCGACACUGCCUCAGCCCGGAAGACGUUCAGGUCAGGUUCUGCUUCUCGACCGGUGUGUGCUGUGCCUGAAUUUGUGCGUCAGGCCAGCUAAAAAGAAGACUCGCCUCCCUCCGCCCUAAAAUUCGGAUUACACUCACACUGGAUUCCAGGGCAGACCCUGCCACUUCAGUCUCUCUCCUUCAGCCUCAAAUUCCUCCUGGUUAAAGGCAAUAAUCCUGCCUACUCAAGGUUUGUUGGGAGACCUCCAGGAGACAACAAAUGUAAAACACCUAGCUGACAUUAGCUGGCACAUGGAAGGCGCUGGAUAAGAAACAGCAUUAUCUGUUUCGCUUCUUUAAUCCACAGCACCUGGAAUGCAAAGGGUAAGAUUUCCUCCUUUUAUACGGCUGAAUAAUAUCCCAUUGUAUAGAUGUGUCACACUUGCUUUAUCCAUUCCACUGUCGAUUGACAGGAUUGUUGUUUCCAUUAUCCUGACUACUGCGAUUAAUGCUGCAGUAAAUAUGGGAAUGCAGACAUCUCUGUCGAGAGGCUGGCUUGAGUUCUUUUGGAUAUAUGCCCAGGAGUGGGAUGCUGGAUCAGAUGAUGGGUUUUUUGGGGGUUGGUUUGUGGUUUGUUUGUUUGUUUGUUUGUUUUUAGUUGUUUUGGAGGGGACAUCUGGAUACGAACAAGAUCAUAUGAUAGUUUUAAUUUUUUGAGGAACCUCCAUACUGUUUUCCAUUGUGGCUGCACCAGUUGGCGUUCCCACCGACAGCGUACGACAGUUCCAGUUUUCUGCAUACUCUCCAACACUUGUGAUCUGCUCUUUGUUAGUUUGUUUGACAAUAACCAUCCUCACGUGUCACAUGUGUGACAUGACAUCUCAUUGUGGUUUUGAUUUGCCUUUCCCUAAUGCUUAGUGAAGGGGAGCAUCAUUUCAUAUACCUUUUGGCCAUUUGUAUGUCUUCUUUGGAGAAAUGUCUAUUCAGAUCCUUUGCAUAUUUUUAAAUUGGUUUGUUUGUUUUAACUAUUGAGUUAGAAAAGUUUGUUAUAAAUAUUGAAAAUUAACCCUUAUCAGAUGCAUGGUUUGCACAUCUCUGCCCAUUUUGUAGAUUGCCUUUUCGGUUUGUUGAUGUUUUCCCUUGCUGUGCAGAAGCUUUUAAGUUUGAUGUAGUCCCACUUGGCCGUUUUUGCUUUUUCAUGACUGCUUUUGGUGUCGUUUCCAUGAAAUCACUUGCCAAGACCCGUGUCACACAGAUGUUCCUUUAUGUUUUCUUCCAGGAGUUUUACAGUGUCACGUCUUAUACUUAAUCUUCAAUCCCUUUGGGGUUGAUUUUUGUGUGUGGUGUAACGUAGGGUCCGAUAUCGUCCUUUUUGUACAUGGGUGUCCAGGUUUCCCAGCACCAUUUGUCCAAGAGACUGUCCUUUCCCCAUUGCGUAUUAUUGGCACCCUUGUCAAGAUCAGCUGACUGUACAUGCAUGGGUCUAUUUCUGGGUUCUCUUCUGUCCCAUUGGCCAGUGUCUGUCUUUCUGUCACUACCAUACUGAUUUACUUACUGUAGCCUUGAAAUAUGUUUUGAAAUGAGGAGGGUGGGUACCUCCAACUUUGUUCUUCCUGCAGGUUGCCUUGGCUAUUCUGGGUCUUCUGUUGUUUCAUAUGCAUUUUAGGAUUGUUUUUCUAAAAUUGUUUUUCUAAAAUUGUUUACUGAAAAAUGCCAUUUGGUUUUGAGAGGAAUAGCAUUGAGGCUAUCAUUUUUCUUUUUAAUCUUUCAUCUUCAACUAUAGAUUACAUUGAUUGAUUAAUCAGUUAUAUUCUAAAUCUGAGGAUUGCAUUGGUUGGUUUUCAAUUAUUGAAUCACCUUUGCUUUCCUGAGCUAACCCACUUGAUCAUGCUGUUUUUCCUUUGAAUAUAUUGCUGGAUUCCAUCUGCUAGUAUUUUGUUGAGGAAUUUUGUGCUUGUGCUAAGGAAGAAUAUUGGUCAGUACUUUUCUUGGUAUCAGUGAAAUGCUAGCCUCAUAAAAUCGCUUGCAAGUAUUUCCCCCACUUCUGUUUCCUGGAGGACAUUGUGUAGAAUUUGUGUGUGGGUGUUUUUAUUCCUGUCGAUAUUUGGUAGAAUUCACUGGUGAUACCAUGUGG